RNAcentral lists this ribosomal RNA (774 nucleotides) under uncultured Neocallimastigales. RNAcentral's name for it is "partial large subunit ribosomal RNA". It matches the Rfam family "Eukaryotic large subunit ribosomal RNA", at positions 24 to 649 of the family's 3401-position model. The record is from RNAcentral. Lineage: Eukaryota; Fungi; Neocallimastigomycota; Neocallimastigomycetes; Neocallimastigales.
UACGACUACAUAUCAGGCAUAUCAAUAAGCGGAGGAAAAGAAACUAACAAGGAUUCCCCUAGUAACGGCGAGUGAAGCGGGAAGAGCUCAAAUUUGAAAUCUUAAAGGGUUUCCCUUUACGAAUUGUAGUUUAAAGAAGUGUUUUCUGUUGGAGUUUCGGUAAAAGUUCUUUGGAAUAGGACAUCAUAGAGGGUGAGAAUCCCGUAUUUGACCGUUACUUUCCAGCUGUGUGAUACACUUUCAAAGAGUCGGAUUGUUUGGGAAUGCAGUCCAAGAUGGGUGGUAAAUUUCAUCUAAAGCUAAAUAUUGGCGAGAGACCGAUAGCGAACAAGUACCGUGAGGGAAAGAUGAAAAGAACUUUGAAAAGAGAGUUAAACAGUACGUGAAAUUGUCAAAAGGGAAGCGUUUGACACCAGUGUUGUUUAGUUGAAAAUCAAUUCAAUAGUUUUUGAUCUAAGUAGUAUUGACUUCAUCAGCUUGCUGCUUUCUUCUCAGAAAUUAUUGAAUGCACUUUUCAGUUAACAAGUCAACAUCAAUUUCUUUUGUUGUAAAAGGGUAAGAGGAAGGUGGCUUGCGCUUCGGCUCAAGUGUUUAUAGCCUUUUAUCUCUGCAAUCGGAGAGAUUGAGGUCUGCAGCGUAGAUCCUUCGGGGUUAGAUACAUUGGUGCUAAGCUAUAGCCUUGUAUAGACAACUUGUUGACUAUGCUCAGUCAUGUAGCUUACUCGCUGAUGCUAUUUUACCUACGCUUAGGAUGUUGAGUAGCGACAUACGCAC